This 576-nucleotide ribosomal RNA is filed under the name Triticum aestivum (bread wheat). RNAcentral's name for it is "partial small subunit ribosomal RNA". The record is from RNAcentral. Lineage: Eukaryota; Viridiplantae; Streptophyta; Magnoliopsida; Poales; Poaceae.
AUGUCACUCACAGUGCACUUACACGCAGGCGAUCAACUUAUACCAUGUUGGAUACGCCGAGGAUCGCUGCCUCGCCCACGGCCAUCGGUUCCUCUCCUGCUCAUCGGGCCGGGAACCGGGUGCGCGCCGUUCCACGCAUUCGUGGAGGAAAGGGCCGCACAGAGCGCAGCGGAGCCAACUACUGCUCCUGUUAUGUUCUUCUUCGGCUGUAGAAACCAAGACAGCGAUUUCCUGUACAAGGACUUCUGGCUGAAACACGCCCAGGGGCAAGGAGGGGUGCUGUCCCUAGACAAGGGCGGCGGUUUCUUCGUCGCCUUCUCUCGGGAUCAACCUCGGAAAGUGUACGUGCAGGACAAGAUAAAGGAGCAGGGGGCGAGAGUGCUGGACAUGCUGUGCUCCGAGUCGUCCAAGGCUGCGAUAUACGUCGCCGGGUCUUCGACCAGAAUGCCCGCCGAUGUUACAGCGGCGUUGGAAGAAGUUCUAUGUCAAGAAGGCGGUGUUCCGCGGGAGGAUGCUUCGGGGUGGCUCAAGGAUCUCAAGAGGGCUGGUAGGUUUGUCGUUGAGACCUGGUCGUGA